UGGGGAAUUUUGGACAAUGGGCGAAAGCCUGAUCCAGCAAUGCCGCGUGUGUGAAGAAGGCCUUCGGGUUGUAAAGCACUUUUGUCCGGAAAGAAAUCCUUGGCUCUAAUACAGUCGGGGGAUGACGGUACCGGAAGAAUAAGCACCGGCUAACUACGUGCCAGCAGCCGCGGUAAUACGUAGGGUGCAAGCGUUAAUCGGAAUUACUGGGCGUAAAGCUGCGCAGGCGGUUUGCUAAGACCGAUGUGAAAUCCCCGGGCUCAACCUGGGAACUGCAUUGGUGACUGGCAGGCUAGAGUAUGGCAGAGGGGGGUAGAAUUCCACGUGUAGCAGUGAAAUGCGUAGAGAUGUGGAGGAAUACCGAUGGCGAAGGCAGCCCCCUGGGCCAAUACUGACGCUCAUACACGAAAGCGUGGGAGCAAACAGGAUUAGAUACCCUGGUAGUCCACGCCCUAAACGAUGUCAACUAGUUGUUGGGGAUUCAUUUCCUUAGUAACGUAGCUAACGCGUGAAGUUGACCGCCUGGGGAGUACGGUCGCAAGAUUAAAACUUAAA
This 555-nucleotide ribosomal RNA is filed under the name uncultured bacterium. RNAcentral's name for it is "partial 16S ribosomal RNA". It matches the Rfam family "Bacterial small subunit ribosomal RNA", at positions 355 to 905 of the family's 1533-position model. The record is from RNAcentral.